This 66-nucleotide transfer RNA is filed under the name Scopimera intermedia. RNAcentral describes it as "tRNA-Ala". Lineage: Eukaryota; Metazoa; Arthropoda; Malacostraca; Decapoda; Dotillidae. The record is from RNAcentral.
AAGACCAUAGUCAAUGUAUGACAUGUGAGUUGCAUUCACAAAGAGUUAAAAAAUUAACUGGUUUUA